AUUAUGUAUGAUAGUCAUCUACUUAAAUAAUUUUUAAAAGACUAUCAUCACUGCUUGUCAUACAUAUGAUUUCUAUUUUUGAUGAAAAUUCUGAUCUUCUGAAAAAUGGAAAAUGAACCAUUGCAUAUCUUUCAUAUUUUUCAGUCGUACAUGUUAUGCUUGAUAUGCUCUUAUGAAAAUAAUGCCAAAUCUGAUAGAGAUAUGUCUAUUCUUGGAUAUCAUUCAUCAAGCAAUGCAUAUAGAAUAUUCAAUGAAAAGAUUUUAGUUGCAAACAUAUCAAGUCAUUUUAUUCUUUAUGAGACAAAUGAUUUAUUAUCAAGAUACUAAAAUUAAAUUAUGUAUGUAUAUGGUUAAUAUUUUACAUAUAACAAUCUGAAAACUUGUUAAUAAUUAUAACCAAAUUAAGUUUUUUCAGAAAUGCACUUAAUGAAGAAAAACUGAUGACUACUAAAAGACUAAAUCAAGAAAAGAUGAAAUAGAUCUUGAUUCUUGCAUGAUUAGAAGUAAAGAUCACCAUUAUCAUUUGCUUGCUUUAUGAGCUUUAUAUUCUAUCAAAUGAAUGUGUAGAAUGCACUCCUAGGUACUUAUUUUAUUAAAGAAGAUAUAAGUUAAAUAACCACCAUAGUUGAAAACACCCAUUACAAAUAUGAUAAAGCAAUAUAUAAUGUGAAACAAGCAUCAAAAGCAUGAUAUAAAAGCUUAAGCAACCUUUUUGAUAGAAAGAAAUAGUGAUAAAUCUUUGCAUCAAAAAGAAGAAUCUGUGAUAUCUUGCUUGCUCAUAGCACUCAUUGAUGGCAUCAUUUUU
RNAcentral lists this long non-coding RNA (805 nucleotides) under Phoenix dactylifera (date palm). RNAcentral describes it as "long non-coding RNA (PDAC_LNC017943)". Lineage: Eukaryota; Viridiplantae; Streptophyta; Magnoliopsida; Arecales; Arecaceae. The record is from RNAcentral.